GAUGAACACUAGCUACAGGCUUAACACAUGCAAGUCGAGGGGAAACGAUAGAGAAAGCUUGCUUUUUCUGGGCGUCGACCGGCGCACGGGUGAGUAACGCGUAUCCAACCUGCCCAUCACUUGGGGAUAACCUUGCGAAAGUAAGACUAAUACCCAAUGACGUCUCUAGAAGACAUCUGAAGGAGAUUAAAGAUUUAUCGGUGAUGGAUGGGGAUGCGUCUGAUUAGCUUGUUGGCGGAGUAACGGCCCACCAAGGCGACGAUCAGUAGGGGUUCUGAGAGGAAGGCCCCCCACAUUGGAACUGAGACACGGUCCAAACUCCUACGGGAGGCAGCAGUGAGGAAUAUUGGUCAAUGGACGAGAGUCUGAACCAGCCAAGUAGCGUGCAGGAUGACGGCCCUAUGGGUUGUAAACUGCUUUUAUAAGGGAAUAAAGUGAGUCUCGUGAGACUUUUUGCAUGUACCUUAUGAAUAAGGACCGGCUAAUUCCGUGCCAGCAGCCG
This 502-nucleotide ribosomal RNA is filed under the name uncultured bacterium. Its description in RNAcentral is "bacterial SSU rRNA". It matches the Rfam family "Bacterial small subunit ribosomal RNA", at positions 28 to 517 of the family's 1533-position model. The record is from RNAcentral.